GGGUUGUGAGGUUAAGCGAAUAAGCGUACACGGUGGAUGCCUAGGCAAUCAGAGGCGAUGAAGGACGUGCUAAUCUGCGAUAAGCGUCGGUAAGGUGAUAUGAACCGUUAUACCCGACGAUUUCCGAAUGGGGAAACCCAAUAUCCAAUGGAUAUUAUCAUUAACUGAAUACAUAGGUUAAUGAAGCGAACCGGGAGAACUGAAACAUCUCAGUACCCCGAGGAAAAGAAAUCAACCGAGAUUCCCCUAGUAGCGGCGAGCGAACGGGGAACAGCCCAGAGUCUUAAUCAAUAGCAGCAUCAGGAGAACGGUCUGGAAAGUCCGGCAGUAAAGGGUGAUAGCCCCGUAUCCGAAGAUGCUGUUAUUGUGAACUCGACGAGUAGGGCGGGACACGUGUUAUCCUGUCUGAAUAUGGGGGGACCAUCCUCCAAGGCUAAAUACUCCUGAUUGACCGAUAGUGAACCAGUACCGUGAGGGAAAGGCGAAAAGAACCCCGGCGAGGGGAGUGAAAAAGAACCUGAAACCGUGUACGUACAAGCAGUAGGAGCCUCUUUAUGGGGUGACUGCGUACCUUUUGUAUAAUGGGUCAGCGACUUAUAUUCUGUAGCGAGGUUAACCGUAUAGGGGAGCCGUAGGGAAACCGAGUCUUAACUGGGCGAAUGAGUUGCAGGGUAUAGACCCGAAACCCGGUGAUCUAUCCAUGGGCAGGUUGAAGGUUGGGUAACACUAACUGGAGGACCGAACCGACUAAUGUUGAAAAAUUAGCGGAUGACUUGUGGAUGGGGGUGAAAGGCCAAUCAAACCGGGAGAUAGCUGGUUCUCCCCGAAAGCUAUUUAGGUAGCGCCUCGUGAAUUCAUCUUCGGGGGUAGAGCACUGUUUCGACUAGGGGGUCAUCCCGACUUACCAACUCGAUGCAAACUGCGAAUACCGAAGAAUGUUAUCACGGGAGACACACGGCGGGUGCUAACGUCCGUCGUGAAGAGGGAAACAACCCAGACCGCCAGCUAAGGUCCCAAAGUCAUGGUUAAGUGGGAAACGAAGUGGGAAGGCUCAGACAGCCAGGAUGUUGGCUUAGAAGCAGCCAUCAUUUAAAGAAAGCGUAAUAGCUCACUGGUCGAGUCGGCCCGCGCGGAAGAUGUAACGGGGCUAAACCAUGCACCGAAGCUGCGGCAGCAACACUAAGUGUUGUUGGGUAGGGGAGCGUUCUGUAAGCCUGCGAAGGUGUACUGUGAGGUAUGCUGGAGGUAUCAGAAGUGCGAAUGCUGACAUAAGUAACGAUAAUGCGGGUGAAAAACCCGCACGCCGGAAGACCAAGGGUUCCUGUCCAACGUUAAUCGGGGCAGGGUGAGUCGACCCCUAAGGCGAGGCUGAAAAGCGUAGUCGAUGGGAAACGGGUUAAUAUUCCCGUACUGGUGGUAACUGCGAUGGGGGAACGGAGAAGGCUAGGUUGUCCGGGCGACGGUCGUCCCGGUUCAAGCAUGUAGGCAGAGUGAUUAGGCAAAUCCGGUCACUUAAUGCUGAGGUGUGAUGACGAACCACUAAGGUGGUGAAGCAAUUGAUGCCCUGCUUCCAGGAAAAGCCUCUAAGCUUCAGGUUACCAACAAUCGUACCCCAAACCGACACAGGUGGUCAGGUAGAGAAUACUCAGGCGCUUGAGAGAACUCGGGUGAAGGAACUAGGCAAAAUGGUGCCGUAACUUCGGGAGAAGGCACGCUGGCGGUAAGUGAAGUCCCUUGCGGACGGAGCCGAAGCCAGUCGAAGAUACCAGCUGGCUGCAACUGUUUAUUAAAAACACAGCACUGUGCAAACACGAAAGUGGACGUAUACGGUGUGACGCCUGCCCGGUGCUGGAAGGUUAAUUGAUGGGGUUAUCCUUAGGGAGAAGCUCUUGAUCGAAGCCCCAGUAAACGGCGGCCGUAACUAUAACGGUCCUAAGGUAGCGAAAUUCCUUGUCGGGUAAGUUCCGACCUGCACGAAUGGCGUAAUGAUGGCCAGGCUGUCUCCACCCGAGACUCAGUGAAAUUGAACUCGCUGUGAAGAUGCAGUGUACCCGCGGCAAGACGGAAAGACCCCGUGAACCUUUACUAUAGCUUGACACUGAACAUUGAGCCUUGAUGUGUAGGAUAGGUGGGAGACUAUGAAGUGUGGACGCCAGUCUGCAUGGAGUCAACCUUGAAAUACCACCCUUUAACGUUUGAUGUUCUAACCUAGGUCCAUAAUCUGGAUCGGGGACCGUGUCUGGUGGGUAGUUUGACUGGGGCGGUCUCCUCCUAAAGAGUAACGGAGGAGCACGAAGGUUGGCUAAGCAUGGUCGGACAUCAUGCGGUUAGUGCAAAGGCAUAAGCCAGCUUGACUGUGAGAGUGACGGCUCGAGCAGGUACGAAAGUAGGUCUUAGUGAUCCGGUGGUUCUGAAUGGAAGGGCCAUCGCUCAACGGAUAAAAGGUACUCCGGGGAUAACAGGCUGAUACCGCCCAAGAGUUCAUAUCGACGGCGGUGUUUGGCACCUCGAUGUCGGCUCAUCACAUCCUGGGGCUGAAGUAGGUCCCAAGGGUAUGGCUGUUCGCCAUUUAAAGUGGUACGCGAGCUGGGUUUAGAACGUCGUGAGACAGUUCGGUCCCUAUCUGCCGUGGGCGUUGGAAGAUUGAGAGGGGUUGCUCCUAGUACGAGAGGACCGGAGUGAACGCACCACUGGUGUUCGGGUUGUCAUGCCAAUGGCAUUGCCCGGUAGCUAAGUGCGGAAGAGAUAACCGCUGAAAGCAUCUAAGCGGGAAACUUGCCUCGAGAUGAGUCUUCCCUGUCACCUAGAGUGACCUAAAGGAACGUUUAAGACUAAGACGUUGAUAGGCUGGGUGUGUAAGCGUAGCGAUACGUUGAGCUAACCAGUACUAAUGAACCGUGAGGCUUAACCUGACAACACCGAAGGUGUUU
RNAcentral lists this ribosomal RNA (2930 nucleotides) under Proteus terrae subsp. cibarius. Its description in RNAcentral is "Proteus cibarius 23S ribosomal RNA". It matches the Rfam family "Bacterial large subunit ribosomal RNA". Lineage: Bacteria; Pseudomonadati; Pseudomonadota; Gammaproteobacteria; Enterobacterales; Morganellaceae. The record is from RNAcentral.